This 468-nucleotide ribosomal RNA is filed under the name uncultured bacterium. RNAcentral describes it as "partial 16S ribosomal RNA". It matches the Rfam family "Bacterial small subunit ribosomal RNA", at positions 28 to 507 of the family's 1533-position model. The record is from RNAcentral.
GACGAACGCUGGCGGCGUGCUUAACACAUGCAAGUCGAACGGAAAGGCCCUGCUUUUGUGGGGUGCUCGAGUGGCGAACGGGUGAGUAACACGUGAGUAACCUGCCCUUGACUUUGGGAUAACUUCAGGAAACUGGGGCUAAUACCGGAUAGGAGCUCCUGCUGCAUGGUGGGCGUUGGAAAGUUUCGGCGGUUGGGGAUGGACUCGCGGCUUAUCAGCUUGUUGGUGGGGUAGUGGCUUACCAAGGCUUUGACGGGUAGCCGGCCUGCGAGGGUGACCGGCCACAUUGGGACUGAGAUACGGCCCAGACUCCUACGGGAGGCAGCAGUGGGGAAUAUUGCACAAUGGGCGGAAGCCUGAUGCAGCAACGCCGCGUGCGGGAUGACGGCCUUCGGGUUGUAAACCGCUUUCGCCUGUGACGAAGCGUGAGUGACGGUAAUGGGUAAAGAAGCACCGGCUAACUACGUG